This 253-nucleotide ribosomal RNA is filed under the name uncultured bacterium. RNAcentral describes it as "partial 16S ribosomal RNA". It matches the Rfam family "Bacterial small subunit ribosomal RNA", at positions 524 to 776 of the family's 1533-position model. The record is from RNAcentral.
UACAGAGGUGGCAAGCGUUGUUCGGAAUUACUGGGCGUAAAGCGCACGUAGGCGGAUUUGUAAGUCAGGGGUGAAAUCCCGGGGCUCAACCUCGGAACUGCCUUUGAUACUGCAAAUCUCGAGUCCGGAAGAGGUGAGUGGAAUUCCUAGUGUAGAGGUGAAAUUCGUAGAUAUUAGGAGGAACACCGGUGGCGAAGGCGGCUACCUGGACCGAUAUUGACGCUGAGACGCGAAAGCGUGGGGAGCAAACAGG